Molecule: long non-coding RNA, 1259 nt
Organism: Carassius auratus (goldfish)
Lineage: Eukaryota; Metazoa; Chordata; Actinopteri; Cypriniformes; Cyprinidae
Exons: 3
Source: RefSeq, a predicted model, not a curated record
AAAAAGUUAUCUGUUUACAUCCUGAUAGUUGUGUCCUUGAAUACAAAGUUAUAGAGGAACAAUACAUGGUCAGAGACGAAUAACCCAUGACAGACAGAGUCUAGUGGCACAGACAAGAAGUCGGAGCAGCUUUAAUGGUCAGGAUGGAGUAUUACAAUCUGUUUGUCCGAAUGUGUCCACACAAGAAGAAACCCAAACGCAGAACCAGUACCAGCCAGACCAACAGCAGUCAGAAACCUCUGCGGAGCGACGGAAGCACAGCAGAGUCACAGAUGUAAAGCACUUGUCAUGGGCUGAAAAGACACAUAGAGACUUUCUGUGUCAAAUGAAGUCUUUUCACAAGCUUUAAUUCAACAGUACACUUUCACAGACAUCAUCUGAUGAAUACUGCUGAUGCUUGUUCAACACACGGGAUAUGCAUCAUCUGUUACUGGAGACGGAGAUAUAUAAAGGAAAAAAUAUAUUAAAACAAGUUGAGUGAUUCUGACAGUGUUAAGGCCAGCAGAGAAGGAUGACCUCUGCAGACUGUUGUUUUAUAAUGAUAACUGUUGCAUUGUGUUGAGGGAGAGCAUCGUUUUGUUAUUUUUAUUAUACCAGUUAAUGAAGUCAUUCUUUAGAAGCGAUGUCAAAACAUCUUUAUAUUUUAGCUCAUGAGGAUUUCUAACAGAUUUCUAAGUUUUUUCUCUUGUUUCUGCCUCCAUUAUACAGAAAUGUAAUGACUGUUGCAACCAAAAGUGAUAUGUAUGUUUAUAUUUCAUUACAUUGGUAAAGAUUUCUUUUUAUAUGCAAUUUUCUACAUGCAAACUAAAAUUAAUUCAUUUUAAUGAGUGAAAGAGGAAUGAAUGGGCAUAUAAAUGAAUAAUUGUCAUGUUAUAUAUUAAUAUAACUAAAAACUUUUUAUCAUUCUUAAUUAAUUUGAAGAUUGAUAUUUAUACACUGUAUUUGCUCUCUCUGUAUAGUCUUAGCAUGUUGAUGAGGAAACAAGUGCAGAAAGUGCUGGAAAGUGGACAUGUUGAGGAGCUGACACAAGCAGAGGAAACAUGUGGUCAGCUUAUUAUUCUGUGUUGCGCCUCCCCCUUCAGAUCUGAGAGAGUAUUGCGAGAAUAUGAGCACAUGAAGAGAAAAUCAGCCCAAUAACAAUCAGGUAAAUCGAUCAGAAUGAGCAGAUGACUCAAAACUGGAUUCUAUUAUUAUGUAUAACUUGACACCUCUUUUUUUAUCUUUUGGAUAUGUUAUUGCACAUCAGCAAUAUAAUUGAA